UUAUUGGAGAGUUUGAUCCUGGCUCAGGACGAACGCUGGCGGCGUGCCUAAUACAUGCAAGUCGAGCGGAGUUUAU
RNAcentral lists this ribosomal RNA (76 nucleotides) under Paenibacillus sp. PastH-2. Its description in RNAcentral is "partial 16S ribosomal RNA". It matches the Rfam family "Bacterial small subunit ribosomal RNA", at positions 1 to 76 of the family's 1533-position model. Lineage: Bacteria; Bacillati; Bacillota; Bacilli; Caryophanales; Paenibacillaceae. RNAcentral also lists the same sequence under 4 other names. The record is from RNAcentral.